AGUCGAACGAAUCCCUUCGGGGAUUAGUGGCGGACGGGUGAGUAGCGCGUGAGAAUCUGCCUUCAGGUUCGGGACAACCACUGGAAACGGUGGCUAAUACCGAAUGUGCCGCAACGUGAAAGAUUUAUCGCCUGAAGAUGAGCUCGCGUCCGAUUAGCUAGUUGGUGAGGUAAAAGCUCACCAAGGCGACGAUCGGUAGCUGGUCUGAGAGGAUGACCAGCCACACUGGGACUGAGACACGGCCCAGACUCCUACGGGAGGCAGCAGUGGGGAAUUUUCCGCAAUGGGCGCAAGCCUGACGGAGCAAGACCGCGUGAGGGAGGAAGGCUCUUGGGUUGUAAACCUCUUUUCUCAGGGAAGAAGAAAGUGACGGUACCUGAGGAAUCAGCCUCGGCUAACUCCGUGCCAGCAGCCGCGGUAUACGGAGGAGGCAAGCGUUAUCCGGAAUUAUUGGGCGUAAAGCGUCCGUAGGUGGUUAUGUAAGUCUGCUGUCAAAGCACAGGGCUUAACCCUGUAAAGGCAGUGGAAACUACAAGACUCGAGUGCGGUAGGGGCAGAGGGAAUUCCCAGUGUAGCGGUGAAAUGCGUAGAGAUUGGGAAGAACACCUGUGGCGAAAGCGCUCUGCUGGACCGCAACUGACACUCAGGGACGAAAGCCAGGGGAGCGAAUGGGAUUAGAUACCCCAGUAGUCCUAGCCGUAAACGAUGGAUACUAG
This 716-nucleotide ribosomal RNA is filed under the name uncultured cyanobacterium. Its description in RNAcentral is "bacterial SSU rRNA". It matches the Rfam family "Bacterial small subunit ribosomal RNA", at positions 60 to 819 of the family's 1533-position model. Lineage: Bacteria; Bacillati; Cyanobacteriota. The record is from RNAcentral.